This 330-nucleotide ribosomal RNA is filed under the name uncultured eukaryote. Its description in RNAcentral is "partial 18S ribosomal RNA". It matches the Rfam family "Eukaryotic small subunit ribosomal RNA", at positions 1470 to 1796 of the family's 1831-position model. The record is from RNAcentral.
CCCUUAGAUGUUCUGGGCCGCACGCGUGCUACACUGAUGCAUUCAACGAGUCUAAAACCUGGUCUGAUAGGGCUGGGUAAUCUUUUGAAAGUGCAUCGUGAUUGGGAUAGAUGAUUGCAAUUCUUCAUCCUCAACGAGGAAUGCCUAGUAAACGCAAGUCAUCAGCUUGCAUUGAUUACGUCCCUGCCCUUUGUACACACCGCCCGUCGCUCCUACCGAUUGAAUGAUCCGAUGAAUACCAUGGAUUGAGAGUACGAAUAGGUUCGCUUAUUUCUGCUGCUCGAGAAGUGGAGUAAAUCUUAUCAUUUAGAGGAAGGAGAAGUCGUAACA